UUACCUUCACUAGGUUUCAUUGGACUAGACUAGAUUAUAAAUUAGGGUAGUCCUAUUUUUAUUACACAAGCGGACUAGCUUAGUGGGAUUACCCUUCACUCGCCUCGACUAAGGGGCUCGCUAGAUCGUCUUAGCAAGACCCCUCGAAUUCCAGCAGACUAGUAAGACUGUCAUCUCUCUCGUCGUCCCGCUUUGCUCCAUAGCAUUGUCGGACCAUUCCUCGACCAACGCCGCAUCCUCAUAAGUCUCUCAGAGCUUCAUCUUCCACUUCAUCUUCUUCAUUUUCUUCGAUUUUGUUUUGAAGAUUCGUGAAAUUAUUAGUGGGUUUAAUCGAUUAUGGGUUUUGAUUUACUUCUGGGAUUUCUGCAUUCUGAUUUAUUUCUAGGAUUUCUGGGUUUUGAUUGAUUUCUGGGUUUUAAUUUGAUCUACAAAUCAGUCAUAUUGUUUUAGGAGAAUGUUUGAUCCUGCAGAGAACAAUCGUCUUCCUCUGAGAAAAUCGUUCCGUGCAUGUCCUUCGAGACGCCCUGUUGUUAUUCCCAACAUCGACCUCGUCGAUUAUGCCUAUCAAUUCGAGUGGUCUAUACCAUUCAUCAAGCUUUGGCGACUUGAAACUUUUCACUCGAGCUUUGGCGACUGGAAGCUUUGGUCUAUACCAUUCACUUCCUUUGUCCGAUUAGAUGCUCAUUAAUUAUUAUUUUUUUGCUGUUUUAGGUACCAUCUAUAUCGAGAUGAGGAUAUACUGGGAACACUGCACGACUGAUGUAUUGUUUGACCUAUGAUCGUGUUAAUUUUGUUCAUGAUUUAUCCUAGUGGAUUUAAGUUCCGUAGCAUGGAGUCGAUCUUUGUUAAUGCCCUACUGUUUAAAUUUGUUAUGUGCUUAUAUAUUAGAUGAAGGAGAACGUGUAAAACUGUUCUGCUAUUGGGCAAAUAAUUUGAAUGCAACUAAGACGUCUUUAAUAUGUAU
Molecule: non-coding RNA, 964 nt
Organism: Malus domestica (apple)
Lineage: Eukaryota; Viridiplantae; Streptophyta; Magnoliopsida; Rosales; Rosaceae
Source: RefSeq, a predicted model, not a curated record